GAUGAAGAACGCAGUGAAAUGCGAUAAGUAAUGCGAAUUGCAGAAUUCCAGUGAGUCAUCGAAUCUUUGAACGCACAUUGCGCCCCCUGGUAUUCCGGGGGGCAUGCCUGUCCGAGCGUCAUUACAACCCUCAAGCUCAGCUUGGUGUUGGGCCCCGCCGCCCCGGCGGGCCCUAAAGUCAGUGGCGGUGCCGUCCGGCUCCGAGCGUAGUAAUUCUUCUCGCUCUGGAGGUCCGGUCGUGUGCUCGCCAGCAACCCCCAAUUUUUUUCAGGUUGACCUCGGAUCAGGUAGGGAUACCCGCUGAACUUAAGCAUAUCAAUAAGCGGAGGA
Molecule: unclassified non-coding RNA, 330 nt
Filed under: soil metagenome
Description: partial contains 5.8S ribosomal RNA, internal transcribed spacer 2, and large subunit ribosomal RNA
Rfam family: 5.8S ribosomal RNA (bases 1-121)
Source: RNAcentral